UCGGCAAUGGGGGAAACCCUGACCGAGCAACGCCGCGUGAAUGAUGAAGGUCUUCGGAUUGUAAAAUUCUGUGGUAAGAGAAGAAAGAUAUAAAGAGGAAAUGCUUUGUAUUUGACGGUAUCUUGCUAGAAAGCCACGGCUAACUACGUGCCAGCAGCCGCGGUAAUACGUAGGUGGCAAGCGUUAUCCGGAAUUACUGGGCGUAAAGAGUGAGCAGGCGGUUAGAUAAGUCUAUGGUUAAAUGCAACAGCUCAACUGUUGUUCGCUAUAGAAACUAUUUAACUAGAGUGCGGGAGAGGUAAGUGGAACUCCAUAUGUAGCGGUGGAAUGCUUAGAUAUAUGGAAGAACACCAGAGGCGAAGGCGGCUUACCAGUCCGUAACUGACGCUCAGUCACGAAAGCGUGGGGAGCAAAUAGGAUUAGAUAUCCUAGUAGUCCACGCCGUAAACGAUGAGAACCUGAUGCAGGAGAUAUUCUGUGUCGAAGCUAACGCGUUAAGUUCUCCGCCUGGGUACUACGUUCGCAAGAAUAAAACUUAAAGGAAUUGACGGGCGCCCGCACAAGCAGUGGAGCAUGGGGUUUAAUUCGUCGAUACACGAAAAACCUUACCAGGGCUUGACAUCCCGCUAAAAGCCUUAGAAAUAAGGAAAUAGUUAUAGCGGUGACAGGUGGUGCAUGGUUGUCGUCAGCUCGUGCCGUGAGGUGUUAGGUUAAGUCCUCAAACGAGCGCAACCCUUGUCUUUAGUUGCCAUUAUUAAUUUAGGAACUCUAGAGAGACUGCCGGCGCAAGCCGGAGGAAGGCGGGGAUGACGUCAAAUCAUCAUGCCCUUUAUGCCCUGGGCCACACCCGUGCUACAAUGGUCGGUACAAAGAGAAGCAACACUGUGAGGUGAAGCAAAUCCCAUAAAGCCGAUCUCAAUUCGGAUUGAAGUCUGCAACUCGACUUCAUGAAGCUGGAAUUGCUAGUAAUCGCAGAUCAGCAACGCUGCGGUGAAUACGUUCUCGGGCGUUGUACACACUGCCCGUCACACCAUGAGAGCCGGUAAUACUCGAAGUCGUUAGCCUAACCGUAAGGAGGGCGGCGCCUAAGGUAGGACUGGUGAUUGGGGUUAAGUCGUAACAAGGUAUCCCUACGAGAACGUGGGGAUG
RNAcentral lists this ribosomal RNA (1149 nucleotides) under human gut metagenome. RNAcentral describes it as "bacterial SSU rRNA". It matches the Rfam family "Bacterial small subunit ribosomal RNA", at positions 365 to 1520 of the family's 1533-position model. The record is from RNAcentral.